UACGGAGGGGGCUAGCGUUGUUCGGAAUUAUUGGGCGUAAAGGGCGCGUAGGCGGCCAGAUAAGUCUGAUGUGAAAUCCCUCGGCCCAACCGGGGAACUGCAUUUGAAACUGUCUGGCUCGAGUCCGGGAGAGGGUAGCGGAAUUCCCAGUGUAGCGGUGAAAUGCGUAGAUAUUGGGAGGAACACCGGUGGCGAAGGCGGCUUACUAAGGAGUAACUGACGCUGAGGCACGAAAGUGCGGGGAUCAAACAGG
RNAcentral lists this ribosomal RNA (253 nucleotides) under uncultured prokaryote. RNAcentral describes it as "partial 16S ribosomal RNA". It matches the Rfam family "Bacterial small subunit ribosomal RNA", at positions 524 to 776 of the family's 1533-position model. The record is from RNAcentral.